Molecule: long non-coding RNA, 4072 nt
Organism: Capra hircus (goat)
Lineage: Eukaryota; Metazoa; Chordata; Mammalia; Artiodactyla; Bovidae
Source: Ensembl
UGCUGGCACCUUGAUCUUGGACUUUCCGGGCUUCAGAAUAAAAUAAAUUAAAUACAUUUUCUCUGUAAAACAACCAAAAAGCUUUUAAGAAAACAGUGAAUCUUCUAUAAAAACAAUGACUAGCUACUUGUUUUCUGAGACAUGUACAUGAAACCAGAGCCUAUUUUCUAGAGGAUCUCAUUGUCAAUGAGCAGAUGGCCGCUCUGCUGGUCAGAAGAGCUUCUUCAUGAACUAAGGGGCCACUGAAUCUCAUUAAUGUUUUUUGCUUCUUGGCUGCUGUUGGAGGAACGUAAAAUUCUUUGCAAAGUGUGAACAAAUGGUGUCGACUCAUCUGUUUAUUAAGGACAUGAGAGCCUACAUAGUAUCUUAGAGCUCCAAACGCCAAUGAAGUUGAUUUUAGAACACUGAUUAUUGUUUAUGGGCAGGGCAGGCUUGGACAGGUUUUGACAUGUGUAUCCCUGUCCAGCAAGACUCGGACAUGGGGUGGGGAGCUUCAAGUGGUGGUCAAGGGUGAAUUCUAUUCUGAGAAGGUUCUGGUUUGUUUUUCCUGCACUGCCCACUUCCUUCCUUAAGGAGCUACUUCCUCUUAAACGACAUUUCCUUGCCCCAUAUUAGCACAGGGCCACGUGCACAGUAAGGGUGAGAUAGGGUGGUAAUCCACAGGGUUGAGCGCUUACAGAUUCUCUCUCCUCCAGCUAUGUCGACUGCAGCUGCUCACCCGGGAACCAAAGGCCAACUUUCUCACCCAGCAAAUAACAUAAUGCAUUGGUGUUCGCUACAAAAGCGGGAACUUGGAACCAUUCUUUCUGUUUUUCUUCGGCCACACCUCAUGCUAUGCAAAAGCUCCCUGACCAAGGAUCAAACCAGCACCCCUUCCCCCGUGGAAGCGCAGCGUCCCAACCACUGGACCAGCAGGAAAGGACCAAACCAUCACUUCUUAUAUGGAGAUAGACUUGAUUGUAUUUUCUUCACAAAGGGAAUCCUUGUGGCUUUUUAAAAACAUGUUGCUGUGUUCAGCUGCUGGCAUCUCCACAAGACACAAAUAACCUAGGAAUCCCUACAUAUCGGCACAUCCAACUUAGCCCACUGUUUACUCUGAUUUACUCCCAGUCUGUCACAACGGCCCCUCUUGAAUUCUUAGCUCCCUAAUCAGUAUGGUGGCAGCUGUUCUAAACAGAGGUGACCCUGUUUCACUUAGCCACUGGUCUCAGCAGCAGACACAGUAUGGGGUCAGAGGUAAAGCAAUAUUAGGAGACCAGAGAGUCAAACUUACAGGGUUGGGGAGACCAACAGUUCUGGGGCAAGGAAUGCUGAAGCUGGGUUGGGGGUUAAUGUGCGGGGACAGUUCUCCAGUCAACCGCACACAGUAACUAGGUAGCCAUUCUUAUUUCUUUGCCAUUCCAACCUGACCAUUCAACUAAAAUCGCAGACUCUGGGGUGUGAAGAAAACCAGGACUGAAAGGCUGCUCCCCACAAUCCAUCUUCACAUCAAGUGAUAUUAAGGGUGCCUUGGCAACUGCAAGAGAAGCAGCAUGUUUACCGCGCCACUUCUGGAAUUUCAAAUUCAAGUAUAAGCUAUUUCUGUACAUUCAUAAAACAUCGUACUGUAUUAGAGUUCUUAAAAAUACCCAUUUAUUUCAUUACAUUGUCUUCUUCUGUAAUAGGUGAAAAAAUUGUUUUAGCAUGAAAGAAAUAAAGCUCUUCCAUGAUUGGUUCUGUUUGCUUGUUUUCUCUGAAGGAGCAAUAAUAUCUGGGGAAGAAAUAAUGGCACGUAUAGCAAACAAAAAAUAUUAAAAGGAUAGUAUCUGUUCACAUUUUUGACUACUGCUAAAUAGAUAUUUUACAACUCUGGUUUAUGUUUGUGUAUAAGCCCUUGGCCACUGUGAUCCUCAUUUCAGACAGAUGUUUCUAUUUUCAUCUGAAGUUUCAAUACAUUUUUUAGUAUGUUCUCUUUCUUCCUAAUAGUUAAAAUUUUCUUUUCAAAAGAUAAUGUAUUUUAAAGACUGACUCUCUUUUUUAUUUUUCAUUUUUUAAAUUUUACUUUACAAUACUGUAUUGGUUUUGCCAUACAUCAACAUGAAUCCACCACGGGUGUGCUGAGUUCCCAAUCCUGAACCCCUCUUCCACCUCCCUCCCCAUACCAUCUCUCUGGGUCAUCCCAGUGCACCAGCCCCAAGCAUCCUGCAUCCUGCAUCAAACCUAGACUGGCGAUUCGUUUCUUACAUGGUAUUAUACAUGUUUCAAUGCCAUUCUCCCAAAUCAUCCCACCCUCUCCCUCUCCCUCUCCCAUAGAGUCCAGAAGUCUGUUCUAUACAUCUGUGUCUCUUUUGCUGUCUUGCAUACAGGCUUAUCAUUACCAUCUUUCUAAAUUCCAUAUAUGUUACUGCUACUGCUGCUGCUAAGUUGCUUCAGUCGUGUCCAACUCUGUGCGACCCCAUGGACGGCAGCCCACCAGGCACCCCCAUCCCCAGGAUUCUCCAGGCAAGAACACUGCAGUGGGUUGCCAUUUCCUUCUCAAAUGCAGGAAAGUGAAAAGUGAAAGUGAAGUUGCUCAGUCGUGUCCGACCCUCAGCGACCCCAUGGACUGCAGCCUUCCAGGCUCCGCCGUCCAUGGGAUUUUCCAGUCAAGAGUACUGGAGUGGGGUGUCUGUGCGUUAGUAUACUGUAUUGGUGUUUUUCUUUCUGGCUUACUUCACUCUGUAUAAUCGGCUCCAGUUUCACCCACCUCAUUAGAACUGAUUCAAUGUAUUCUUUUUAAUGGCUGAGUAAUACUCCAUUGUGUAUAUGUACCAUAGCUUUCUUAUCCAUCCACCUGCUGAUGGACAUCUAUAAAGACUGACUCUUAUUCUUAAUUUUAUUCAGGUCAUGUAGUAUAUUUCAUGGAAGGAAAUUUGCAUAGGAUAAGCAUGUACUCCAAAGGAAUUUUAAGUAAAGGCCCUAUACUCCCACAUUCAGCGUGCACCUCAUCUUCCAGCACACUGUUUCAGUUGCAACAAAAUAUUUAAACCCAUUAAUGAACAUCAAAUAAUCUGGCCUGUCAUCUGGAUAUUUCGUCAACACAAUGUUUUGAUACUUGGAUAUUUCUGAGUUGUUCAUUUCAUCCAGCUGUUUGAUAAUUAAAUAAAUACAACCUUCAUAUGCCAUAAAUCCUCAGAGCAAGAGAGUCUGGGAUUGAGGAUCUGGUUGCAGGAAUGAAUCCUACUGGUUUAUCAUCUGUCUCUGAGGCUAACUAACAUCAUAAUAACUGAAUGCCAUGGAGUCUCAACCAUUGAUAAGCUACAACAAUUAAAUUUUUUCUUUGUCUUUCUUUUUUUUCUUUCUUAUUUUUAAAACAAUGGAGUAUAUUCAAGGCAGUGUUAAGCCCUGAAUCACACUGUAAUUAUUUUUCACACAGCUUAUUUGCAUUCACAAUAACCUGAUAACAGCAUGCAAUUCACUCCAAGCUAGAGACUGGUCCAUCAUCCAUUAGCUGAAGACAAACACAGGUUCCAAUAAAACAUUUAGUAAGUGGCUGGGUAAUUCAGGACAGGUCUAUUUCAAGCCUAUUUCCUGUUUACAUAAGCAUUCAAGUCUAAUUCUAAUUAGCAUUCUGAAAUCAGCCUUAAUUAGUACAUAUAUUUUGGAUAGUUCAUUUAAGAAAACACACAGCCUGUGAAGAAAAGAUUUGUAUACAUGGAGAUCUGAGGACAAUAUUACAAAUGAAGAAAACUGUUUCUAAGCGCUACCAUUUCAGAUCAAAGGAGGCUAGAUAGGGAAACAUUUGCCAAGUGGUAGAAAUACCUUUGCUUGGUUCUUUUUUUAAACAUGUGUCUUAGGUCGAACAUAAAAUAAAACAGUGGUGCAUGUAAGUUAUAUCUGUAGAAUGAACAUUUGAGAGUUACAUGGAUUAAAUUUUGAAGCCUCACUCAACCAUAAAAGGCACACAAAUGCUGGGAAGUUGAAUUUUGGGGGGUUGUUUUCACAAAGAAAUGAGUUGUAUAUAAAGAUUAAAAAGCCCAAAUUACUGAUUUAUAAAUAUUGUUUAAAAGAAGACAAACCAGAAAAUAUUUUGAGAACUUUAGGAGGACUUGAG